AUAAAUUGGAAAGAUGAAAUGCUAAAGAAUCAGAGGCAUUUUCACUACUUUGAAAGAGUAAUGGCAGUAGUAUUUAUAGUGGACAUUUGUAACCAUGACCAGUUUACCUACGAUGACCCGCCAAAGAAUAUCCUUGAAAGUAUGGAACUGUUUAAAACUGUUUGCAACAACAAGUAUUUCAAAGACAGAGUUGUAAUCCUCUAUUUGAGCGGAACAGACAUAUUUGAAGAAAACCCAAAGCCUACCUCAUUAAAUAUUUGAUUCCUGAAUAUUCUGAUCAAGAUACAUUGGAAGACGCAGCUUUUUAUGUUCAAUGUAAAUUUGCAUUUUUGAAGAACAACAAAUUUAGUACAGAACUUGUAUGGACUACACCUACCAAAAAUGACAUGAUUGUGACUGAAGCUGUUUAAUACGUAAUAAUGAAAAAAAUUUAUAAGAAUGUUCCUCAUGAUUGGUUUGACAACAUGCUUUAAAAUGAGCAGCGUUCCAUUGUCGAUACAAGUGAAGCCAUUGAACAGAGCAACAUCCCUUUUAACCUUUACCCUGCUGAAUUUCUAAAAUGGAAUUGUUCGUCAAUCAAUUUGGGCAGUACCAUUUAUUAUUCAAAGUGGUGUUCACUGAAAUUUACUGAUUGAUUAGCAAACAGUGCAGACUAUGUUGUACAGGCUGAGGCUGAUCUUGGUCUGCACUUGCCGCAAAGGCAAACUCUCUUGCCGCUAGCAAGCUAAAGAUUAAGAUGCGACACAUGAUAACUUUAUCCUUUUGUAUUUCCAUAUCUCAUUUAGUAAUUGGUCGUUGGAGUUCUGAUUCGAAAGAAUUAUAUCACGAGGGCACAGUUAGUAUUUCGGUAACACGUUAUCAAGGAUUAUUGUGUACAUCCUUACGUCAUCUACCAAAUAUUUGCCUAUUUUCUGUUGGUUUCUUUACCAGCGCGCCGCUAUGCCGUUUGACGUUAUGACGUAAUAAUUGUGACGUCAGAAAAAAGAAUUGUUGCACAAUAACACACAAUUUUCGGCCUUCUUUCUUUAAUAGGAAAAACAAAUCGGCUCGUGUUAGAUUUACUCUUAGCAGAUAUUCUUUGUGUUGAUUCAGUAAGCACUCACAUACACACUCCUUAUUCUGAUGUGCUACUAUUAUACUGACAGAAAGAUUAUGUCUUUAAUUCACUUUCAGUUACAUUUGAUAGACAUUGCAGUUUCUUUUCUCCAGAUAUUCUCAGAACAUGUUUAGAUCUACUGCGAUUUAUCAAACUUCCUUUUGGUAAAUGAUACAUA
This is a long non-coding RNA of Mercenaria mercenaria, 1274 nucleotides long. RefSeq lists it as uncharacterized. The transcript has 3 exons. The record is from RefSeq and is a predicted model, not a curated record. Lineage: Eukaryota; Metazoa; Mollusca; Bivalvia; Venerida; Veneridae.